AUGUCAGUUUCAGAUACGAACCUUAAUAAUGGAGAAAAGCCCAUCUCCGAAACUACCGAUGCGGAACUCGCCGAAAAGCAUGGUCAUAUGAAGUUAGUAUGCUCACAGACAAGGUUCGGAAAAACCAUGAAACUGUUGUCAGAAGACCACAAAAAGUACAUCAUAUCAGAAACCAGUCUCGGCGGACUAACCCAGAUGCAUGAAGUGACUCUACGUCGCAUAAUGUUGGUUAGACUAGCCAAGAGCAUAGAUAUGGACACGAAAUCCAUUACCAUCUGUAAAACCCCAAUUCCUAUAACAAAAGAGGACGUGCAAGGUAUAUUUGGCAUUCCGAUAGAAGGGGGGGAUAUAGAGCCACAUCUGGAAAAUCAAACCGACACAGAAUUGUUUACCGCCUAUGCAAACAAUGGGCAAAUUUUGAUUUCUGACCUUGGAACGGCGAUCCGAGCUUCCAAAGCCCCAGACAGUGAUUUCCUGAGAUGGUUCAUUCUGUACGCAAUUGGUACUGUUCUAGCACCAACAGCACAACAUUAUGUGGACUCGAAAUAUCUCAACCUUGUUACAGAUCUUGAAAACCUUCGAAAAUUUAAAUGGGGAUGUUUCACACUUAAUCACUUCUUCAAGUCCGUUCACAAGUUUAGAAAUCGAGAUCACAUAAAUCUACAAGGAAAUCUAAUUCUGCUCCAGUAUUGGUACUGGGAGCACAUGCGUAGUGGCCGAUUAAUGUAUGCUUCUGGACCCCCUCCAUUGAUCGCACGAUGGGACAAAAUGAUGGCUACUAUAAGAAGUGAUGCUUACGAGAAAGGAGGUCUUCAUAAUGGGCUAAUUGAAAUGGUAGUUGAAGUCAUGAAUGCACGCAUUGCUGAUCAUGAAAAGAAGGUAGGCAGGAAGUUAAUGGAAAUUGAGCACAGAUUUGAUGUUAAAUACCAGACUCUAGGUGAAGACUUGAUCGACAUGAAGACUAAAACUGGCACUAAUCCUAGGUUGUUGAAGGCCGAGGACGAAAUUAAAGACUUAAGGAGGGAACUCCAUGACUUAAAAUACGAAUUUACAAGGAACCGACAAUCAGUGUCACAGAAAGGAGGCGUGCAGGUGAUCAAUAUGGCCCAACAUAUUAAUAUCUAA
This 1125-nucleotide ribosomal RNA is filed under the name Triticum aestivum (bread wheat). Its description in RNAcentral is "partial small subunit ribosomal RNA". Lineage: Eukaryota; Viridiplantae; Streptophyta; Magnoliopsida; Poales; Poaceae. The record is from RNAcentral.